Molecule: ribosomal RNA, 485 nt
Filed under: Opistophthalmus capensis (giant burrowing scorpion)
Lineage: Eukaryota; Metazoa; Arthropoda; Arachnida; Scorpiones; Scorpionidae
Description: partial 16S ribosomal RNA
Rfam family: Bacterial large subunit ribosomal RNA
Source: RNAcentral
GGUUUUUUGUUAUAAUAAAAAAUCAGGCCUGCUCAAUGCUUCAGUAAAUAGCCGCGGUAUUAUGACCGUGCAAAGGUAGCAUAAUCAUUCGUCUUUUAAUUUAGGACUGGUAUGAAUGGUUAGACUAAAUAAUGUUGUCUUAUAGUAAUAUUUUGAAAUUUAUUUUUUAGUAAAAAAGCUAAAAUUUUUUUUAGGGACAAGAAGACCCUAUCAAGCUUAACAAAGAGUUUUUAUUUUUCUUAAAGUAAAGAGUGUUUGUUUAACUGGGGCAGUAAAUAAAUAAAAAUUUUGUUUAAAAAUUAUGAAUUCUAUUCUCAUAAAAACGAAAAAUUUUCAAAUAGGAAUAAGUUACUGUAGGGAUAACAGCGUAAUUCCUUUUAAGAGUCCUUAUCAUCACAGGAGUUUGCGACCUCGAUGUUGGAUUAAAAAUUCUAAAUCGCGCAAUAGCGAUUCAAGAAAGUCUGUUCGACUUUAAAAUUUUUCCA